RNAcentral lists this ribosomal RNA (497 nucleotides) under uncultured bacterium. Its description in RNAcentral is "partial 16S ribosomal RNA". It matches the Rfam family "Bacterial small subunit ribosomal RNA", at positions 28 to 507 of the family's 1533-position model. The record is from RNAcentral.
GAUGAACGCUGGCGGCGUGCCUAAUACAUGCAAGUCGAGCGAACGGACGAGAAGCUUGCUUCUCUGAUGUUAGCGGCGGACGGGUGAGUAACACGUGGAUAACCUACCUAUAAGACUAGGAUAACUUCGGGAAACCGGAGCUAAUACCGGAUGAUAUUUUGAACCGCAUGGUUCAAAAGUGAAAGACGGUCUUGCUGUCACUUAUAGAUGGAUCCGCGCUGCAUUAGCUAGUUGGUAAGGUAACGGCUUACCAAGGCAACGAUGCGUAGCCGACCUGAGAGGGUGAUCGGCCACACUGGAACUGAGACACGGUCCAGACUCCUACGGGAGGCAGCAGUAGGGAAUCUUCCGCAAUGGGCGAAAGCCUGACGGAGCAACGCCGCGUGAGUGAUGAAGGUCUUCGGAUCGUAAAACUCUGUUAUUAGGGAAGAACAUAUGUGUAAGUAACUGUGCACAUCUUGACGGUACCUAAUCAGAAAGCCACGGCUAACUACGUG